RNAcentral lists this ribosomal RNA (800 nucleotides) under uncultured bacterium. RNAcentral describes it as "bacterial SSU rRNA". It matches the Rfam family "Bacterial small subunit ribosomal RNA", at positions 8 to 801 of the family's 1533-position model. The record is from RNAcentral.
AGAGUUUGAUCCUGGCUCAGGAUGAACGCUAGCGGCAGGCCUAAUACAUGCAAGUCGAGGGGCAGCACAGGGUAGCAAUACCUGGGUGGCGACCGGCAAACGGGUGCGGAACACGUACAGAACCUUCCUUCGAGCGGGGAAUAGCCCAGAGAAAUUUGGAUUAAUACCCCAUAGUAUAACGAUGUGGCAUCAUGUUGUUAUUAAAGAUUUAUCACUUGAAGAUGGCUGUGCGUAUGAUUAGGUAGUUGGCGGGGUAACGGCCCACCAAGCCUACGAUCAUUAACUGGUGUGAGAGCACGACCAGUCACACGGGCACUGAGACACGGGCCCGACUCCUACGGGAGGCAGCAGUAAGGAAUAUUGGUCAAUGGACGCAAGUCUGAACCAGCCAUGCCGCGUGGAGGAUGAAGGUCCUCUGGAUUGUAAACUUCUUUUAUCUGGGACGAAAAAAGGCUUUUCUAAGUCGUCUGACGGUACCAGAUGAAUAAGCACCGGCUAACUCCGUGCCAGCAGCCGCGGUAAUACGGAGGGUGCAAGCGUUAUCCGGAUUCACUGGGUUUAAAGGGUGCGUAGGCGGGCAAUUAAGUCUGUGGUGAAAUCUCUGAGCUUAACUCGGAAACUGCCAUGGAUACUAUUUGUCUUGAAUGUUGUGGAGGUGAGCGGAAUAUGUCAUGUAGCGGUGAAAUGCUUAGAUAUGACAUAGAACACCAAUUGCGAAGGCAGCUCACUACACAAAUAUUGACGCUGAGGCACGAAAGCGUGGGGAUCAAACAGGAUUAGAUACCCUGGUAGUCCACGCC